GACGAAGGGGGCUAGCGUUGUUCGGAAUUAUUGGGCGUAAAGGGCGCGUAGGCGGCCAUUCAAGUGACGGGUGAAAGCCCUCGGCUUAACCGAGGAACUGCCUGUCAGACUGGAUGGCUUGAGACCGGGAGAGGUGAGUGGAAUUCCCAGUGUAGCGGUGAAAUGCGUAGAUAUUGGGAGGAACACCAGUGGCGAAGGCGGCUCACUGGACCGGAACUGACGCUGAGGCGCGAAAGCGUGGGGAGCAAGCAGG
RNAcentral lists this ribosomal RNA (253 nucleotides) under uncultured bacterium. RNAcentral describes it as "partial 16S ribosomal RNA". It matches the Rfam family "Bacterial small subunit ribosomal RNA", at positions 524 to 776 of the family's 1533-position model. The record is from RNAcentral.